AACGAACGCUGGCGGCAGGCUUAACACAUGCAAGUCGAACGCCCUAGCAAUAGGGAGUGGCGCACGGGUGAGUAACGCGUGGGAAUAUACUGUGUAGUGGGGAAUAACUUUGGGAAACUAAAGCUAAUACCGCAUACGCCCGAGAGGGGAAAGAUUUAUCGCUAUACAAUUAGCCCGCGUGAGAUUAGGUAGUUGGUGGGGUAAUGGCCUACCAAGCCUACGAUCUCUAGCUGGUCUGAGAGGAUGAUCAGCCACAACUGGAACUGAGACACGGUCAAACUCCUACGGGGGGGAGGCGGGGGGAAUUAUUGGCAAUGGAGGGAAAUCCUAACCCGGCCUUGCGCGGGGGGGAUGGAGGCCUUAGGGUUGUAAAGCUCUUUUAACGGUGAAGAUAAUGACGGUAACCGUAGAAUAAGCCCCGGCUAACUUCGUGCCAGCCGCCGCAGUAA
Molecule: ribosomal RNA, 449 nt
Filed under: uncultured bacterium
Lineage: Bacteria
Description: partial 16S ribosomal RNA
Rfam family: Bacterial small subunit ribosomal RNA
Source: RNAcentral